AACGAACGCUGGCGGCAGGCUUAACACAUGCAAGUCGAACGCCCCGCAAGGGGAGUGGCAGACGGGUGAGUAACGCGUGGGAAUCUACCCAUCUCUGCGGAAUAGCUCCGGGAAACUGGAAUUAAUACCGCAUACGCCCUACGGGGGAAAGACUUAUCGGGGAUGGAUGAGCCCGCGUUGGAUUAGCUAGUUGGUGGGGUAAAGGCCUACCAAGGCGACGAUCCAUAGCUGGUCUGAGAGGAUGAUCAGCCACAUUGGGACUGAGACACGGCCCAAACUCCUACGGGAGGCAGCAGUGGGGAAUAUUGGACAAUGGGCGCAAGCCUGGUCCAGCCAUGCCGCGUGAGUGAUGAAGGCCUUAGGGUUGUAAAGCUCUUUCACCGGUGAAGAUAAUGACGGUAACCGGAGAAGAAGCCCCGGCUAACUUCGUGCCAGCCGCCGCGGUAA
RNAcentral lists this ribosomal RNA (447 nucleotides) under uncultured bacterium. RNAcentral describes it as "partial 16S ribosomal RNA". It matches the Rfam family "Bacterial small subunit ribosomal RNA", at positions 29 to 523 of the family's 1533-position model. The record is from RNAcentral.